This 292-nucleotide ribosomal RNA is filed under the name uncultured bacterium. Its description in RNAcentral is "partial 16S ribosomal RNA". It matches the Rfam family "Bacterial small subunit ribosomal RNA", at positions 505 to 796 of the family's 1533-position model. The record is from RNAcentral.
GUGCCAGCAGCCGCGGUAAUACAGAGGGUGCAAGCGUUAAUCGGAAUUACUGGGCGUAAAGCGUGCGUAGACGGUUAUGUAAGUCAGAUGUGAAAGCCCCGGGCUCAACCUGGGAAUUGCAUUUGAGACUGCAUAGCUAGGAUGCGGAAGAGGGAAGUGGAAUUUCCGGUGUAGCGGUGAAAUGCGUAGAUAUCGGAAGGAACAUCAGUGGCGAAAGCGACUUCCUGGUCCAGCAUCGACGUUCAGGCACGAAAGCGUGGGGAGCAAACAGGAUUAGAUACCCGUGUAGUCC